AUGGUAUUGCGAUGGGAUAUCUCGGCUCUCGCAUCGAUGAAGAACGUAGCGAAAUGCGAUACCUGGUGUGAAUUGCAGAAUCCCGCGAACCAUCGAGUCUUUGAACGCAAGUUGCGCCCGAGGCCACUCGGCCGAGGGCACGCCUGCCUGGGCGUCA
This 157-nucleotide ribosomal RNA is filed under the name Triticum aestivum (bread wheat). Its description in RNAcentral is "rRNA 5_8S_rRNA". It matches the Rfam family "5.8S ribosomal RNA". From Rfam's summary of the family: 5.8S ribosomal RNA (5.8S rRNA) is a component of the large subunit of the eukaryotic ribosome. It is transcribed by RNA polymerase I as part of the 45S precursor that also contains 18S and 28S rRNA. Functionally, it is thought that 5.8S rRNA may be involved in ribosome translocation. The record is from RNAcentral. Lineage: Eukaryota; Viridiplantae; Streptophyta; Magnoliopsida; Poales; Poaceae.